RNAcentral lists this ribosomal RNA (373 nucleotides) under uncultured prokaryote. Its description in RNAcentral is "bacterial SSU rRNA". It matches the Rfam family "Bacterial small subunit ribosomal RNA", at positions 524 to 896 of the family's 1533-position model. The record is from RNAcentral.
GACGAACCGUGCGAACGUUGUUCGGAAUCAUUGGGCUUAAAGGGCGCGUAGGCGGGUGUUCAAGUCCGGGGUGAAAGCCUCCAGCUCAACUGGAGAAGAGCCCCGGAUACUGUUCACCUGGAGAGAGAUAGGGGCACAUGGAACUUCCGGUGGAGCGGUGAAAUGCGUAGAGAUCGGAAGGAACGCCGGUGGCGAAAGCGAUGUGCUGGAUCUUUUCUGACGCUGAGGCGCGAAAGCUAGGGGAGCAAACGGGAUUAGAUACCCCGGUAGUCCUAGCCCUAAACGAUGGGUACUGGGUUGCGGGUCAGACAUAGACUCGCAGCCGAAGCAAAAGUGUUAAGUACCCCGCCUGGGGAGUAUGGUCGCAAGGCUG